GCAUUCGAGCACGCAGGGCCCCAGCGGCACUAAGCCUCAGGGCCCGCCCGAGCAGCUCGCCCUCCAACUGGCCACAGGCUGCGCUGGCCCGCGGAGAUGCGGAGCUAGGAGGACGCGGCAAGUGGCCGCGUCCCGGCGCCGACAUUUUCCGCAUCAUUAUGGUUUUACCGCAAGAAGCAGCUCUACCUUGCUUUAGUGGAUAAUGGAAGUCUCAGAGUGGAUUUAGACACGAACCCAGAAAAAGCGCAGCACAGAGCUACUGUGGUGAAAAGAGUGCAUUACAUGUGAGGGACUCACUCUCUUAGUUGUGUAAGGCCCUUAAUUCAAAUUGCUAGGAGAUAAUCACUCUGAAUAUUACCUUCUAAAUCCUAAUGAUAUUGCAUAUAUAACCGGAUCUGGGUGGACGUGGCUUCCUUUCCUGCACAAUGUCUAACAAAACAGCUUUCAGCAUGGACACAAUAACUUUCCUCAGACUUAUGGAAGCUCAGGAUGACACACUGCCCCUCCAUGGCCUUCGCAGCGAUCCGUGAAACUCUGCUAUCUGCUCGUGCGCUGUGUGGGGCGCAGGGCCACCUUGCCAGUGACGCCGAGACAGUGCCACAAGUGACCUGUCAGCUUUGACCCAUAAUUCCAUUUUGUAGAACAGUGUCUCAGAAAUACUUUCUCAUAUGUACAAAAAGAUGUAAAAUUAUGAUCAUUGAAAAAUUUAUUAAAAAAUUAUCAAUGGAAAACUAUGUACCAUUGGGGAAUGGUUAAAUGAUGGCACAUCACACUCUAAGAUGCUGUGAGAUGACUAAAAUGAAUAGUACAUCCACAUGCAAGGAGUUUGGAAAGUCC
Molecule: non-coding RNA, 837 nt
Organism: Microcebus murinus (gray mouse lemur)
Lineage: Eukaryota; Metazoa; Chordata; Mammalia; Primates; Cheirogaleidae
Source: RefSeq, a predicted model, not a curated record